CCUACGGGCGGCAGCAGUGAGGAAUAUUGGUCAAUGGACGAGAGUCUGAACCAGCCAAGUAGCGUGAAGGAUGACUGCCCUAUGGGUUGUAAACUUCUUUUAUAUGGGAAUAAAGUGUUCCACGUGUGGGAUUUUGUAUGUACCAUAUGAAUAAGGAUCGGCUAACUCCGUGCCAGCAGCCGCGGUAAUACGGAGGAUCCGAGCGUUAUCCGGAUUUAUUGGGUUUAAAGGGAGCGUAGGUGGAUUGUUAAGUCAGUUGUGAAAGUUUGCGGCUCAACCGUAAAAUUGCAGUUGAAACUGGCAGUCUUGAGUACAGUAGAGGUGGGCGGAAUUCGUGGUGUAGCGGUGAAAUGCUUAGAUAUCACGAAGAACUCCGAUUGCGAAGGCAGUUCACUGGACUGCAACUGACACUGAGGCUCGAAAGUGUGGGUAUCAAACAGGAUUAGAUACCCGGGUAGUC
This 460-nucleotide ribosomal RNA is filed under the name uncultured bacterium. Its description in RNAcentral is "partial 16S ribosomal RNA". It matches the Rfam family "Bacterial small subunit ribosomal RNA", at positions 338 to 795 of the family's 1533-position model. The record is from RNAcentral.